AAUAGAUACCCGGGUAGUCCACGCCGUAAACGAUGAGUGCUAAGUGUUAGGGGGUUUCCGCCCUUUAGUGCUGCAGCUAACGCAUUAAGCACUCCGCCUGGGGAGUACGGUCGCAAGACUGAAACUCAAAGGAAUUGACGGGGGCCCGCACAAGCGGUGGAGCAUGUGGUUUAAUUCGAAGCAACGCGAAGAACCUUACCAGGUCUUGACAUCCCACUGACCGCUAUGGAGACAUAGUUUUCCCUUCGGGGACAGUGGUGACAGGUGGUGCAUGGUUGUCGUCAGCUCGUGUCGUGAGAUGUUGGGUUAAGUCCCGCAACGAGCGCAACCCUUGAUCUUAGUUGCCAUCAUUUAGUUGGGCACUCUAAGGUGACUGCCGGUGACAAACCGGAGGAAGGUGGGGAUGACGUCAAAUCAUCAUGCCCCUUAUGACCUGGGCUACACACGUGCUACAAUGGACGGUACAAACGGUUGCCAACCCGCGAGGGGGAGCUAAUCCGAUAAAACCGUUCUCAGUUCGGAUUGUAGGCUGCAACUCGCCUAC
RNAcentral lists this ribosomal RNA (544 nucleotides) under uncultured bacterium. Its description in RNAcentral is "bacterial SSU rRNA". It matches the Rfam family "Bacterial small subunit ribosomal RNA", at positions 777 to 1319 of the family's 1533-position model. The record is from RNAcentral.